UGAGGAUAUAGCUCAGUUGGUAGAGUGUUGCCUUAUAUGCACAAGGCCCUGGGUUCAAUCUCCAGCACCACAA
Molecule: transfer RNA, 73 nt
Filed under: Marmota monax (woodchuck)
Lineage: Eukaryota; Metazoa; Chordata; Mammalia; Rodentia; Sciuridae
Description: tRNA.Ile
Source: RNAcentral